UACCCUUGACAUGUCGGGAACUUUCCAGAGAUGGAUUGGUGCCCGAAAGGGA
This 52-nucleotide ribosomal RNA is filed under the name uncultured organism. Its description in RNAcentral is "partial 16S ribosomal RNA". The record is from RNAcentral.